UGGGGAAUUUUGGACAAUGGGGGCAACCCUGAUCCAGCCAUCCCGCGUGUGCGAUGAAGGCCUUCGGGUUGUAAAGCACUUUUGGCAGGGAAGAAACAGCCUGGGAUAAUACCCCGGCGACUGACGGUACCUGCAGAAUAAGCACCGGCUAACUACGUGCCAGCAGCCGCGGUAAUACGUAGGGUGCAAGCGUUAAUCGGAAUUACUGGGCGUAAAGCGUGCGCAGGCGGUUCGGAAAGAAAGGUGUGAAAUCCCAGGGCUUAACCUUGGAACUGCACUUUUAACUACCGAGCUAGAGUACGUCAGAGGGGGGUAGAAUUCCACGUGUAGCAGUGAAAAUGCGUAGAGAUGUGGAGGAAUACCGAUGGCGAAGGCAGCCCCCUGGGAUGAUACUGACGCUCAUGCACGAAAAGCGUGGGGAGCAAAACAGGAUUAGAUACCCUGGUAGUCCACGCCCUAAAACGAUGUCAACUAGCUGUUGGGGUUUAUUAACCUUAGUAGCGCAGCUAAACGCGUGAAGUUGACCGCCUGGGGAGUACGGUCGCAAAGAUUAAAAACUUAAAA
Molecule: ribosomal RNA, 564 nt
Filed under: uncultured bacterium
Lineage: Bacteria
Description: partial 16S ribosomal RNA
Rfam family: Bacterial small subunit ribosomal RNA
Source: RNAcentral